RNAcentral lists this ribosomal RNA (431 nucleotides) under uncultured bacterium. RNAcentral's name for it is "partial 16S ribosomal RNA". It matches the Rfam family "Bacterial small subunit ribosomal RNA", at positions 29 to 507 of the family's 1533-position model. The record is from RNAcentral.
AGCGAACGCUGGCGGCAGGCCUAACACAUGCAAGUCGAACGCCCCUUCGGGGGAGUGGCGGACGGGUGAGUAACGCGUGGGAAUGUGCCCUUUGGUACGGAACAACUGAGGGAAACUUCAGCUAAUACCGUAUGUGCCCUACGGGGGAAAGAUAUAUCGCCAUUGGAGCAGCCCGCGUUGGAUUAGGUAGUUGGUGGGGUAAUGGCCCACCAAGCCGACGAUCCAUAGCUGGUCUGAGAGGAUGAUCAGCCACACUGGGACUGAGACACGGCCCAGACUCCUACGGGAGGCAGCAGUGGGGAAUCUUGCGCAAUGGGCGAAAGCCUGACGCAGCCAUGCCGCGUGAAUGAUGAAGGUCUUAGGAUUGUAAAAUUCUUUCACCGGGGAAGAUAAUGACGGUACCCGGAGAAGAAGCCCCGGCUAACUUCGUG